This is a long non-coding RNA of Salvia splendens (bonfire salvia), 1049 nucleotides long. RefSeq lists it as uncharacterized. The record is from RefSeq and is a predicted model, not a curated record. Lineage: Eukaryota; Viridiplantae; Streptophyta; Magnoliopsida; Lamiales; Lamiaceae. The transcript has 4 exons.
AUAGGUAGUUCUACGUCUCAUUUAUUGGAGGAAAGCUCAAAUAUAGCUUGGGAACAAAUCUUAGAACUAGUUUGCUCUAGAUCAUCUCCGCCGAAAACAACCAUCGAAUCAUGGCUGCCAAUGAAACACGCACAAACUACGAGUUGCUAAGCCCAGCACACCCUCGGCUUCCGGGAUUCAUGAAGGUAUUCUACUCCAUCCAGAGUUCCAACGCAAUUCGAUUACCGCCGGAGUUCAUCGCUACACAUGGUGAAUCUCUUCCUGAGGAUUGUACCGUUGAGAUGCCUAAUGGCCGGAAGUGGAAUGUCAAAAUUAAAAGGCGCACAUGCGGUUGGUACUUCAAGCAAGGGUGGGCUGAGUUUGUGUAUAGAAAUCAUAUUCACAAUGGGGAUUUCCUCACAUUUAUCUAUCCCGCCACCGGUGUGUUUCACAUUACGCAUUACGAUUUCAUGAGUGGGUGCAUCCCGGCCAGGGACAUUGAACAUAUGUAGUAGACAUGGUGAUAUUAGAUACGUUUUUAUCCAUUUAUAUAUAGUGAACAAAUAAUUUACAGUUUGAUUUGUUAUCAUUAUAGACUUGCCAUUCCACGAAACAACUUAAGAAGCUGAUAUAGAUUCGUCGGAUGAUUGGUUCCUUUCGGACACCGAUGAAAACUCCAUCACAAACUCUCCCACCGGUGUUGAAAUAACUACUCACACUAUGUUGCCUGCCUUCAGUUUGGUAAUAACGAACGUUCACAUGGGUCCUUAUAUGGCUAUAGAAAUUGAGUUCUGGUCCGCCAAUAAUGUCAAACAAGGAGAGAACAUGGCAGCAUUUUUCACUGUCCAUUAUCAAACGUGGGGGGUGUUCAUAGCCAACUGCAAUGAUAUAUUCAUAGUUCAUGGAGGUUGGAUGAAUUUUGUUCGGGACAACGAUGUUGAAGUCGGUGUACGAUGCAUGUUUCAACUCGUUGAUGCUGAAAAUCUGCACUUUCGGGUCAUAUUUAGCCGCUAAGCACGUACCUCUUUCGAUCUAAUUCGUGCGCUUUCAUUAGACGCUCUUGUUCUAAC